AAGAGACAGCAGUAGCCGCGGGAAUACGGAGGGUGCAAGCGUUAAUCGGAAUUACUGGGCGUAAAGCGUGCGUAGGCGGUGAGUUAAGUCUGCUGUGAAAUCCCCGGGCUCAACCUGGGAAUGGCAGUGGAUACUGGCUCGCUAGAGUGUGUCAGAGGAUGGUGGAAUUCCCGGUGUAGCGGUGAAAUGCGUAGAGAUCGGGAGGAACAUCAGUGGCGAAGGCGGCCAUCUGGGACAACACUGACGCUGAGGCACGAAAGCGUGGGGAGCAAACAGGAUUAGAUACCCGAGUAGUCCCUGUCUCUUAUAC
This 310-nucleotide ribosomal RNA is filed under the name uncultured bacterium. RNAcentral describes it as "partial 16S ribosomal RNA". It matches the Rfam family "Bacterial small subunit ribosomal RNA", at positions 503 to 807 of the family's 1533-position model. The record is from RNAcentral.